RNAcentral lists this unclassified non-coding RNA (478 nucleotides) under Hevea brasiliensis (rubber tree). Lineage: Eukaryota; Viridiplantae; Streptophyta; Magnoliopsida; Malpighiales; Euphorbiaceae. The record is from RNAcentral.
AAACCACUAUGAAGAUUAUGUGCAUCGUGUUGGUCGCACAGGCCGAGCUGGUCGUAAAGGGUGUGCCAUCACAUUUAUUGCUGAGGAAGAUUCAAGAUAUGCACCAGAUCUGGUGAAAGCAUUGGAACUCUCCGAGCAGGUUGUUCCUAAUGACCUGAGAGCUCUAGCUGAUAGUUUCAUGGCGAAGGUGAAUCAGGGACUAGAGCAGGCCCAUGGAACUGGCUAUGGUGGCAGUGGUUUCAAAUUUAAUGAGGAAGAAGAUGAAGUGAGGAGGGCAGCAAAGAAAGCGCAAGCUAAAGAAUAUGGUUUUGAGGAGGACAAAUCAGAUUCAGAAGAUGAAGAUGAUGGUGUCCGGAAAGCAGGUGGUGAUAUCUCCCAGCAGGCAGCUUUGGCCCAGAUAGCUGCUAUAGCAGCUGCCACUAAAGUCAGUGCAGCUUCAAUCACAACUCCCAGCUCUGCUGCCCAACUACUUCCAAAU